GACGAACGCUGGCGGCGUGCUUAACACAUGCAAGUCGAACGGAAAGGCCCUGCUUUUGUGGGGUUCUCGAGUGGCGAACGGGUGAGUAACACGUGUGUAACCUGCCCUUGACUUUGGGAUAACUUCAGGAAACUGGGGCUAAUACCGGAUAUGAGCUCCUGCUGCAUGGUGGUGGUUGGAAAGUUUCGGCGGUUGGGGAUGGACUCGCGGCUUAUCAGCUUGUUGGUGGGGUAGUGGCUUACCAAGGCUUUGACGGGUAGCCGGCCUGAGAGGGUGACCGGCCACAUUGGGACUGAGAUACGGCCCAGACUCCUACGGGAGGCAGCAGUGGGGAAUAUUGCACAAUGGGCGGAAGCCUGAUGCAGAAACGCCGCGUGCGGGAUGACGGCCUUCGGGUUGUAAACCGCUUUCGCCUGUGACGAAGCGUGAGUGACGGUAAUGGGUAAAGAAGCACCGGCUAACUACGUG
This 468-nucleotide ribosomal RNA is filed under the name uncultured bacterium. Its description in RNAcentral is "partial 16S ribosomal RNA". It matches the Rfam family "Bacterial small subunit ribosomal RNA", at positions 28 to 507 of the family's 1533-position model. The record is from RNAcentral.